RNAcentral lists this ribosomal RNA (492 nucleotides) under uncultured bacterium. Its description in RNAcentral is "partial 16S ribosomal RNA". It matches the Rfam family "Bacterial small subunit ribosomal RNA", at positions 29 to 507 of the family's 1533-position model. The record is from RNAcentral.
AGUGAACGCUGGCGGUAGACCUAACACAUGCAAGUCGAACGGCAGCACGGUAAGAGCUUGCUCUUACGGGUGGCGAGUGGCGGACGGGUGAGGAAUACAUCGGAAUCUACUUUUUCGUGGGGGAUAACGUAGGGAAACUUACGCUAAUACCGCAUACGACCUACGGGUGAAAGCAGGGGAUCCUCGGACCUUGCGCGAUUGAAUGAGCCGAUGUCGGAUUAGCUAGUUGGCGGGGUAAAGGCCCACCAAGGCGACGAUCCGUAGCUGGUCUGAGAGGAUGAUCAGCCACACUGGAACUGAGACACGGUCCAGACUCCUACGGGAGGCAGCAGUGGGGAAUAUUGGACAAUGGGCGCAAGCCUGAUCCAGCCAUACCGCGUGGGUGAAGAAGGCCUUCGGGUUGUAAAGCCCUUUUGUUGGGAAAGAAAAGCAGCAGGUUAAUACCCCGCUGUUCUGACGGUACCCAAAGAAUAAGCACCGGCUAACUUCGUG